AUAAGCGGCUGUGAUGAUAACAUAUUAUCCCAGCUCAUUAUGAGACCUUUUGUGGUCAAGGAAAAUAACUGAACCCAAAUAAAGCUGACCUGGAC
Molecule: small nucleolar RNA, 95 nt
Filed under: Brassica oleracea var. oleracea
Lineage: Eukaryota; Viridiplantae; Streptophyta; Magnoliopsida; Brassicales; Brassicaceae
Source: RNAcentral